This 460-nucleotide ribosomal RNA is filed under the name uncultured bacterium. RNAcentral's name for it is "partial 16S ribosomal RNA". It matches the Rfam family "Bacterial small subunit ribosomal RNA", at positions 338 to 795 of the family's 1533-position model. The record is from RNAcentral.
CCUACGGGGGGCUGCAGUGAGGAAUAUUGGUCAAUGGACGAGAGUCUGAACCAGCCAAGUAGCGUGAAGGAUGACUGCCCUAUGGGUUGUAAACUUCUUUUGUCAGGGAGCAACGCCGGCUACGUGUAGCCGGACUGAGAGUACCUGAAGAAAAAGCAUCGGCUAACUCCGUGCCAGCAGCCGCGGUAAUACGGAGGAUGCGAGCGUUAUCCGGAUUUAUUGGGUUUAAAGGGUGCGUAGGCGGAAUGCCAAGUCAGCGGUAAAAUCGCGGGGCUCAACCUCGCUCCGCCGUUGAAACUGGCGUUCUUGAGUGGGCGAGAAGUAUGCGGAAUGCGUGGUGUAGCGGUGAAAUGCAUAGAUAUCACGCAGAACUCCGAUUGCGAAGGCAGCAUACCGGCGCCCAACUGACGCUGAAGCACGAAAGCGUGGGUAUCGAACAGGAUUAGAUACCCUUGUAGUC